UGGGGAAUAUUGGACAAUGGGCGAAAGCCUGAUCCAGCCAUGCCGCGUGUGUGAAGAAGGUCUUCGGAUUGUAAAGCACUUUAAGUUGGGAGGAAGGGCAGUAAGCGAAUACCUUGCUGUUUUGACGUUACCGACAGAAUAAGCACCGGCUAACUCUGUGCCAGCAGCCGCGGUAAUACAGAGGGUGCAAGCGUUAAUCGGAAUUACUGGGCGUAAAGCGCGCGUAGGUGGUUCGUUAAGUUGAAUGUGAAAGCCCCGGGCUCAACCUGGGAACUGCAUCCAAAACUGGCGAGCUAGAGUAGGGCAGAGGGUGGUGGAAUUUCCGGUGUAGCGGUGAAAUGCGUAGCUAUAGGAAGGAACACCAGUGGCGAAGGCGACCACCUGGGCUCAUACUGACACUGAGGUGCGAAAGCGUGGGGAGCAAACAGG
Molecule: ribosomal RNA, 429 nt
Filed under: Pseudomonadota bacterium
Lineage: Bacteria; Pseudomonadati; Pseudomonadota
Description: Proteobacteria bacterium partial 16S ribosomal RNA
Rfam family: Bacterial small subunit ribosomal RNA
Source: RNAcentral